GUGCCAGCAGCCGCGGUAAUACGUAGGGUCCGAGCGUUGUCCGGAGUUACUGGGCGUAAAGCGCGCGCAGGCGGCUUUCUAAGUCUGGCGUGAAAGCCCCCGGCUCAACCGGGGAGGGUCGUCGGAGACUGGGGAGCUUGAGGGCGGUAGGGGCUGGUGGAAUUCCCGGUGUAGUGGUGAAAUGCGUAGAGAUCGGGAGGAACACCUGUGGCGAAGGCGGCCAGCUGGGCCGACCCUGACGCUGAGGCGCGAAGGCGUGGGGAGCGAACGGGAUUAGAUACCCCGGUAGUCCACGCAGUAAACGAUGCAGACUAGGCGUGGGGGGACUUGACCCCCUCCGUGCCGGAGCCAACGCGGUAAGUCUGCCGCCUGGGGAGUACGGCCGCAAGGCUAAA
This 395-nucleotide ribosomal RNA is filed under the name uncultured bacterium. RNAcentral describes it as "bacterial SSU rRNA". It matches the Rfam family "Bacterial small subunit ribosomal RNA", at positions 505 to 898 of the family's 1533-position model. The record is from RNAcentral.